CCAAUCUCUCAUCUUGGGUGAGGUACUUCAUGCUCAGCGUGCUGUAAAUGUCCCGUAACUCUUGAGCGCGGAUGGUGUAUGGUGUGUCCAUUUCAGUAACUUUACCGUCGAAAGCUUUCCACUUUUUGGGGGCAGCAGCCUGUUACGACAAAAAAACAAGCUGUUAUUUUCGGCAUGGUUGAUUUAAGAAAAAAAUCACGGUGGGUUGUCCUGUGUUCAAAUGUUUCCAGUGCAUAUUGGCUCAGUUUAGUUCGUUCAGUUUGGCAUUAAGUCAACAGAGGACCAAAGCAACAGAAAACCGGGCCACGAUGUUGAAUCAUCGAUUAACACUAUCAGAUCGCCCUGGACUUGAAAGCAGUAAUGAGGCACAAACUUCGACAAACCUUGUUCAAGAAGUUCUUGAUCCUUUUGUCGUUGUUUUCUUCAUCAGCAACCAGUUUAUGCCGAUCAAUGGAGGCAAUAAGAAAGUCAAGACAGAAUAAAGGUAAACUCACAGCUGUAGAAGAGUCUACAUGCAGAAGAAAAAUGUCACAGAAGGGAAUUUGACAACAGACUGAAGCAUUAUAAUUGAUAGAUGUACUUCCAAAGUAGAGAUUUCCGAGAAUGUUACCAUUUGUGUGGAUGUUGUAUUUGUGGUCUGCUGAAGUCUGUUUCUCAAUUUGUAUGUUUGUGUGUCUCGAUGAAACUUCUCAACAGAUGAAGGCACACGGAUCUUUGGUAAAGUUUGUGCAGCUGCAUUGUGGAACUCUGUCCCUGUCAGUCUGUGUCUGUAGCCUCCCAAGAAUGGUUUUUUCCUGUUCUCUUGGACAAUAUGAACCACAAGCUCAACCUCCUUUCCACCUGAAAAAAAAGGAAAAAACACAGAAGGUCAAUGAAAUACAGUACACCUCAGAGAUAGAUGGCCUGAACGCGCACACAAGAUCUUUGAAUGUUUUUUGCCUGUUCUAAGAAUACACUUCCAUGACUUUCCAACACAAAAUCAAAGCAGCUAUCCACAUUCAAUGGAGCAACCUACACUUAAUCAUCAACUUUAUCAUCAUGAUUUUAAUUAAAAACUUUCCUUGUAAAUGCAUCCAUUGUUUUGUUACUAUCAUUUGUUUUCUC
Non-coding RNA from Pocillopora verrucosa, 1104 nucleotides. The record is from RefSeq and is a predicted model, not a curated record. Lineage: Eukaryota; Metazoa; Cnidaria; Anthozoa; Scleractinia; Pocilloporidae.